This 1742-nucleotide long non-coding RNA is filed under the name Malus domestica (apple). RNAcentral's name for it is "long non-coding RNA (MDOM_LNC009012)". The record is from RNAcentral. Lineage: Eukaryota; Viridiplantae; Streptophyta; Magnoliopsida; Rosales; Rosaceae.
UCCAACUCAGAGCUUCAACAUGCGUACUUUGACACAAAGUAUGUGAUACUAAGUGUUACAACCAACACGGUUCACAUAUCAAAAGCAUGGAUCCCUUUAUGCAUAUCAAAACAUUCAUAAGUAUCACUCAUAUCAAUCAACAUAAACAUCAUACAUUCCAACACAUUCAUACAUAAACAUCUACAUUCCAACACAUUCAUACAUAAACAUCAUACAUUCCAACACAUCCAUACAUAAGCCAAUUGUGCUUCGAAAGGGUUCAACACACUUUGUGUCAUUCGACACUUGCUACAAUGUGCCUCGACACCUUGCCCUUAUUCUCACCAACUAAGUGAUGAAGGAACUCACCUUCGUGCCACUAACUAGGUGAUGAAAUGUACAACCCGUACUCUCAUUCAUGCCACCAACCAGGUGAUGAAAUGUACAACCGUACUCUAAUAUUAUUUGGCAACUUGCCACUCUUAUCACCAACUAGGUGAAGAAGCAACUUACCUUUGUGCCACCAACCAGGUGAUGAAAUGUACAACCCGUACUCUAAUAUUAUUUGGCAACUUGCCACUCUUAUCACCAACCAAGUGAAGAAGGAACUCAUCUUCAUGCGACUAACCAGAUGAUGAAAUGUACAACUCGUACUCUAAUAGUAUUUGGCAACUUGCCACUCUUAUCACCAAUCAGGUGAAGAAGGAACUCAUCUUCAUGCCACCAACCAGGUGAUGAAAUGUGAAGAAGGAACUCAUCUUCGUGCCACCAACCAGGUGAUGAAAUGUGAUGAAAGGUGAUGAAGGCACUCACCUUCGUACCACUAACCAAGUGAUGAAAGCAACCCACCAUUCAUUCCACCAACCAGAAGACGAGUGGUACAACUUGUACAUGUGAACUCCUAGCAUUCACAAAUAAUCAAAAACCCUAAAGCUUUUCAACUCAACUAGGGGAGCACUUAUGCCUAACAAGAGCUAUAGUCACCAACAAAGUCUUAUUACAAGCCAACAAUGGCUUCAGUGCAUGGUAUAUGAAGAUCAAGCUCUUCAGCCUUCUUACAUUUGCUUCAGACAUUUCUCCUCUGUAACAAUGCAAACACCACAACUCAUAGAAAGUUUAACACACUCUUGAUCAAGACUGUUCGAAGCAAAUUCAAUUUAUAUGGUUCAUCCAAACCUUUGACUAUUACAAGGUAUGGCUUGCAUCACAAUCUCUUGCUCAAUAAUGUGGAAGAAAAAUUUGUAUACGUUGUCUCUCCCACAUUUUCAAAUUUCUAGUUUUCCCAAAUGAAAAAAGAAAAAAAAAAGAAAAAAAAGAGGAAAUUGGGAAAUUCAACAAAGUUUUAUCAAUGGAGGACAACUACAAAUUUUCAAAAGCUUCACACACUCUUGAUCGAGACAGUGUGAAGCAAAACCAAUAUAUGGUACCAACAAGAGCUUCAUCAAAAGAGUUCAACCACAAUUCUCAAAAGCUUCACACACUCUUGAUCAAGACAGUGUGAAGCCAAAACAAAUUACAGGAGCUUCAUCAAUGAAAGGCAACCACAAUUCUCAAAAGCUUCACAUGUUAUUGAUCAAGACAGUGUGAAGCAAAACCAAUUUAUGGUGCCAACAAAAGCUUCAUUAAUGGAGGGCAACUACAAUUCUCAAAAGCUUCACACACUCUUGAUCAAGACAGUUUGAAGCAAAACCAAUUUAUGGUGCCAACAAAAGCUUCAUCAAAGGAGUUCAACCACAAUUCUCAAAAGCUUCACACUCUUGAUC